GACGAACGCUGGCGGCGUGCCUAAUACAUGCAAGUCGAGCGAAGCGGCGGAUGGGUGGGAAACGCGUGGGUAACAUGCACUUAAGUCGGGGAUACCAGUUGAAAACAGAUGCUAAUACAGGAUAAUAACGGAUGGAGCUGAGAUGAAGUAGAUAGUUGGUAAGGUCACGUCUUACCAAGGCGAUGAUGCAUAGCCGAGGUGAGAGGCUGAUCGGCCACAUUGUGACUGAGACACGGCCCAAACUCCUACGGUAGGCAGCAGUAGGGAAUCUUCCACAAUGGACGAAAGUCUGAUGGAGCAACGCCGCGUGAGUGAAGAAGGUCUUCGGAUCGUAAAGCUCUGUUGUUGGGGAAGCGUUAAUCAACCAGAAAGUCACGGCUAACUACGUGCCAGCAGCCGCGGUAAUUC
RNAcentral lists this ribosomal RNA (408 nucleotides) under uncultured bacterium. Its description in RNAcentral is "partial 16S ribosomal RNA". It matches the Rfam family "Bacterial small subunit ribosomal RNA", at positions 28 to 526 of the family's 1533-position model. The record is from RNAcentral.